GUCGACGGCCAUGCCACCCUGAGCGUGCCCGAUCCCGGCUGAUCUCGGAAGCUGAGCAGGGUUGGGCCUGGUUAGUACUUGGGAUGGGAGACCACCGUGGAAGACCAGGUGCUGUAGUUG
This 120-nucleotide ribosomal RNA is filed under the name Pteropus vampyrus (large flying fox). The record is from RNAcentral. Lineage: Eukaryota; Metazoa; Chordata; Mammalia; Chiroptera; Pteropodidae.